RNAcentral lists this long non-coding RNA (785 nucleotides) under Triticum aestivum (bread wheat). RNAcentral describes it as "long non-coding RNA (TAES_LNC003540)". The record is from RNAcentral. Lineage: Eukaryota; Viridiplantae; Streptophyta; Magnoliopsida; Poales; Poaceae.
GUACAUCAAGCACGUUGUCAUGACCAUCGGGUUGAACACAUGGGGUCUUGUGCUCUACAACAACCUUGAGGCUCUGCUGUUGUUUCCCCUUGAGCUCCUUAUAAUGGGAGAGUUUAAUCAGAUGAAGGUGGACAGCUCCAAGAUGACAACAAACUGGCUAUCGUUCGACGUGGUCCUUCCUGUUGCUCUGUCAUGCCUGUUCGGGUUAUCUAUAUCCUUCUUUGGAUUUUCCUGCAGACGGGCCAUCUCUGCUACUGGAUUUACGGUGCUCGGUAUAGUGAACAAGCUCCUGACCGUCGUGAUCAAUCUGCUUAUCUGGGACAAGCAUGCGUCCCUUGUGGGGACAAUUGGGCUUUUGAUAUGCAUGUCUGGUGGUGUUCUCUACCAGCAAUCGGCCACAAAGCCCAAGGUGCCCAAGAUCGAGCCAAAGGAAGAGGACGAUGAAGAGGGGCAGAAUUUGCUGCAGAUUCAGCCCGGGCAUGAGAGCAACCCAAGUCAAAAGCAUUCCUCAUAAGCUUACUUUACCUUCCCUCGACAACCCAUUCGUGGUAUACCUCAGAUGAGAAAUCUUGAACAUGCUGUAGAACAUCGGCGUUUCAAGAGAAACUAAAUUUCAUUCUACAAUACCUUUGUUAUUGUAUACUGUUUUUCAUUGGUUAGACAGGAUUGUGGUGGUGGUGUAGGGUACCAGACACCUCAACAUACUAGGGUCGAAUCCCCUGUAUACUGAACCAUGUAUGCUAUUUACCAUAUUCCAGAAAUACAAUGGAUGUACUUAUUCGCUU